GCACGCACGACGUCGAGGUGGUGCCGGAGGCGCUGACGUCACUGGAUGGUCUCAGUGCGCUUGUGCGUGCGGGCGCGGGGGCGAGGAGCUGAGUCGUGUAGCGUGCCUAGGGGUAAUCCUGCUGACGUAACAGGUCUUCGGCGCGGUGAUGCAACGAGCUUUGAUUCUGGCCCUUCUGCGAAGAGACGCACCUGGAGGUCUCCUAGCUACUUUUUGUCAGCAGGCGACCUUUACUCAGACUCGGGCACGCUUCCACUGCUGGCGCCAGCUGCACCUCAGAGGGACAGCCUGGAACCGGGUGUUUGUAAGAGUUAGACAUUAAGUCAUUUUUCAGCUGUCCGUCAAAUGGACGCCCUAAGACCGAGGAGGGUGCUGUAUUGGCAGUAGACGGGAUUUUAACUCUGGCCGCUUCCCUGCCAGUUUCUCUUUUGCUGACGCUCCUCGCCACCUGGCGUUCGUGUGCAGAAAGAACAGGGGGAGUGUGCAGGCAGUAUCUACGGUAGGAAGAAGCAUUUUUAGAUGAUUAGGGAAUUGUUGGAAACCUAGGUAAAGAUCGUGUUCAGGUCCCCACUGAAUUCCCCGCGGGUCGGGGCAAUUGGCGCCCAAACGUGGGGUGAGGGUACGGGGGUCUUGUUGAACGUUGCUGCCAGUAAGGGUACCCUUAUUAUUGGAUUGCUGCAACCCGAAGGUUGUGAGUGAAAAUCCACACUGUGAUUGCCGCGCCACAAGAAGGACGUGAGUGAAGAUCCGCUUGGCGAUCGCCGCAGAAUUGCCCACCUGCGAGUCUGAUCCAUCAAGGUUUGCCUGUUCUGGAUAUUCCCAUAAACAGAAUCAUAUACUAUGUGGUCCUCUGUAACUUAGCAUCAUGUUUUCAAGGCUCAUCCCGCAGCAUGUGUCAGUGCGUCAUUCCUUUUCAUGGCUGCAUAAAAUCCUAC
Long non-coding RNA from Nycticebus coucang (slow loris), 935 nucleotides. RefSeq lists it as uncharacterized. The record is from RefSeq and is a predicted model, not a curated record. The transcript is spliced from 3 exons. NCBI's taxonomy places the organism in Eukaryota, Metazoa, Chordata, Mammalia, Primates, Lorisidae.